ACGGAAGGCAGCAGUGGGGAAUUUUGCGCAAUGGGGGCAACCCUGACGCAGCAACGCCGCGUGCGGGACGGAGGGCUUCGGCCCGUAAACCGCUUUCAGCAGGGAAGACAUCGACGGUACCUGCAGAAGAAGCUCCGGCUAACUACGUGCCAGCAGCCGCGGUAAUACGUAGGGGGCGAGCGUUAUCCGGAUUCAUUGGGCGUAAAGCGCGCGUAGGCGGCCGCCUAAGCGGAGUUUCUAACCUUGGGGCUCAACCUCAAGCCGGACUCCGAACUGGGCGGCUCGAGUGCGGUAGGGGCAGGCGGAAUUCCACGUGUAGCGGUGAAAUGCGCAGAUAUGUGGAGGAACACCGAUGGCGAAGGCAGCCUGCUGGGCCGGCACUGACGCUGAGGCGCGAAAGCUGGGGGAGCGAACAGGAUUAGAUACCCUGGUA
RNAcentral lists this ribosomal RNA (433 nucleotides) under uncultured Adlercreutzia sp. RNAcentral describes it as "partial 16S ribosomal RNA". It matches the Rfam family "Bacterial small subunit ribosomal RNA", at positions 341 to 792 of the family's 1533-position model. The record is from RNAcentral. Lineage: Bacteria; Bacillati; Actinomycetota; Coriobacteriia; Eggerthellales; Eggerthellaceae.